This 480-nucleotide ribosomal RNA is filed under the name uncultured bacterium. Its description in RNAcentral is "partial 16S ribosomal RNA". It matches the Rfam family "Bacterial small subunit ribosomal RNA", at positions 28 to 507 of the family's 1533-position model. The record is from RNAcentral.
GACGAACGCUGGCGGCGUGCUUAACACAUGCAAGUCGAACGAUGAAGAAAAGAAUUGAAGCUUCGGCAGAAAUUCAUUUCGGAUUAGUGGCAGACGGGUGAGUAACGCGUGAGCAACCUACCUCUUACAAAGGGAUAGCCUCGGGAAACCGGGAUUAAUACCAUAUAACAUUGCGACGAAGCAUUUCGAUGCAAUCAAAGCUACGGCGGUAAGAGAUGGGCUCGCGUCCCAUUAACCAGAUGGUGAGGUAACGGCUCACCAUAGUAACGAUGGGUAACCGGCCUGAGAGGGUGAACGGUCACACUGGAACUGAGACACGGUCCAGACUCCUACGGGAGGCAGCAGUGGGGAAUAUUGCACAAUGGAGGGAACUCUGAUGCAGCGGCGCCGCGUGAGUGAUGAAGGAAUUCGUUUCGUAAAACUCUGUUCUAUGGGAAGAAAAGGACUGUACCAUAGGAGAAAGCUCCGGCUAAAUACGUG